This 229-nucleotide ribosomal RNA is filed under the name uncultured bacterium. Its description in RNAcentral is "partial 16S ribosomal RNA". It matches the Rfam family "Bacterial small subunit ribosomal RNA", at positions 568 to 796 of the family's 1533-position model. The record is from RNAcentral.
CAUGUAGGCGGCAUGACAAGUCUGGUGUGAAACAUCUCGGCUCAACCGAGAAAACGCACUGGAAACUGUCAAGCUUGAGUAUCGGAGGGGAAGCUAGAAUUCCUGGUGUAGGGGUGAAAUCUGUAGAUAUCAGGAAGAAUACCGGUGGCGAAGGCGAGCUUCUGGCCAGAUACUGACGCUGAGAUGCGAAAGCGUGGGGAGCGAACAGGAUUAGAUACCCUGGUAGUCC